GUGAAGGCGGAGUCGCUAGUAAUCGCGGAUCAGCAACGCCGCGGUGAAUGCGUUCCCGGGCCUUGUACACACCGCCCGUCAAGUCAUGAAAGUGGGUAGCACCCGAAGCCGGUGGCCCGACCCUCGUGGGGGGGAGCCGUCUAAGGUGAGACUCGUGAUUGGGACUAAGUCGUAACAAGGUAGC
RNAcentral lists this ribosomal RNA (184 nucleotides) under uncultured bacterium. RNAcentral's name for it is "partial 16S ribosomal RNA". It matches the Rfam family "Bacterial small subunit ribosomal RNA", at positions 1320 to 1500 of the family's 1533-position model. The record is from RNAcentral.